CUUUAUUAUGGUUGCAGAAAUUAAUUAACUUACCAGAAACCAAAACUGCCGUUUUUUUCAAAACUUUGACAAAGGAAUCCAUUCCACUGUGACCGUCGAUCUGAAUAUGCGAAUCGGUAAUAAAAGUAAUUCAAAUAAAAACGCAAACAAAAAGAAACUAGCCGUUACGGCUCACAAAUUCAAAUGCACAACACUAAGUUGCCCGUUUGUUUUUUCAUUAAAGAGGAAGAGAAACAAAUCUCUUCUUCUUCGUCCUCGAAAAUACCUGCAAAAUCAGUAGAAGCCAUUCUCUCUCUUUCAAAACUCCUCUCUCUCUCUCUCUCGGAUACUGCAUUGUUCUUAUCCUGAGAUUUCUAUUUCCUUGCGAUUGAAUUAUGGUUGGUUGAUUUCUUUAUUUGAGACGAUUGCUUAAUCUGGACCUGAUAAAGAGAGAAAUUAAAGAACUGAGGCGCCAGAGAGAUUUUGCACAAUCUCAAGUGGAUGAGUUGCAGAAAAAACUGCAAGAGGACCAACGGCUUCUAGCACAUUGGAAUCAACACCACGUCCAUCGGUAAAGAACUGUCUCUCUCUCCUACGCUGAUGCAUUAUUAUGAAAACUUGAGAACAAGGAGAUAAACCGCUGCGACAGAGCAAGGAAAACUAUGUUAAGGCAAUACAUCAUCAACUGCACCUGUUACUCUAAUGCAUGAAAUCCGUAAACUCGAACAUCUCAGGAGCAACUUGGAGCUCUAGAAGUAUUGCAAAAGGAAAGUCAUAUAGUCUAGGUGACCGAGAUGCAGCGGAGUCCAUUGCCAAGCUGCAAGGGAAAUGCAAUCUAUUCAAAAAAGAUUGUUGAUGUUGUUGAGAAGGAAGAAGGGGAGUUAGAGGAGGUGAGAUUGAUUUGGAUAUGGAACCAGGUGAGAACGUAUGGGGGAUGUUUUCAAUAUGAACAUUGAUGGGUUUUUUAUGAAGUUGCUUUGGAGAGUUUAACUGUAAAAAGAAAAUGAUGCUUUGGGGAGUGUAACUGUAAAAAACCAUUUCAUGCAGUUUGUACAUUGGAGGGCUUGCAGGAAGUUGUUCUGGGAAAUAGCAUUUCCAAUAAAGAUGAUCUUAUUCAAUUGUCAUUCACUGCUGUUCGAGUGAUUAAUUCUGUUUUCUCCUCGAUGAACCAUAUAGUAAGAGAACAUAACAGGGACAGCUUUUCAAGGUUCCUUCUCUUUUCACCCCUGAGCAUUCUGAAGAGGUAUGGCUAGUGUAAUUUCAAUCUUAGAUCUUGUUGUUUGCUUUGUUACUUGCUAUGGUAUUACUGUCACUUGGGUUGAUCUUCUGUCAUUAAGAAGUCUAGAAGUGGUAUAUGUUUCCACAGAUUGAGAUCGUGCUUGCCUCUAGAGAUUCUUCUGGUGUUUUUCCGAGUUCUUAGAAGGAUAAUGAUGUGAUUGGUAAAAGUUCAGGUUACAGAACUGAAGGAGUUUCGAAUUUUAAGAAUUUGCUGAUCCAAGUUUCAAAUUUUAAGAAUAGAGCGCUUUGCUUCCUUUAUUCCUCCACAAAGAUCAGAUGAGGUCAAAGUUUUAUCUUCCUUUUUAUGGUUUUUGCGGUACUUGCCUCUAUAUAUCUAUCUACCAAUUGUUGCAGCUAUCUAUUUCAUCUAGACCAUAUUUAGACAGCUUCUGCUGGCCUUGGUUUCUCUUUAUGUUCUGUAACCUCCUGAACAGUUUCAGGACAAAAGUUCAUACUUGGCUUCUCUUUCUUCAUGGGUAUUUCAGUACUCCAAUACUUCAGAUAGUACUAUAAUCAAAUAGGAUCAAAAUGCGGGUCAUGUUUACACUGGUUCCUUUGUUAGACCUCCACAAAUAUCAGUACCCCAAUUAUUGGGCUGCCUGUCAUCCAUCACCUACACGGGAAUCAGCACUUCCUUUACAGUAUAAUAUUUGCAGUUCAUUUGGUUCUCUGUAAUAUUAGGAAAUUCAUUUUCAUUUUAUUCAGCUGGAUAUAAUCUUGAGGAUGAGGAGGGCAUUAUUGAACCGAAGAUGGCAAUUAAUAUAAUGAUCAAGAUAUUAAAGUAUAUUACUUGAUUUUUUAAUGGUCACCGAAUGAAACACUUUAUUUUUUGUGUUGGUUUAGCUUUCUAUGGCAGUGCAAGUUCUAAUUUAACAGGUCGUGUUUCCUCUAAAGAUAAGUUUAUUUUCUAUUAUCUCAUAUUUCGAAGUUUUACUAUUGUUUUAUAUAUUUAAUAUUAUUCUUAAUUUGCUUUUAAUCUCUCUUUAUUCUAUAGUAUAUUUGUUUAUUUGCACUUUUAUUUGCUAAUUUUGUUUACUAAUCUAAUUCUUUUCAUAGUGACAGGUUCUAAUUACCCAGUUUUGAUAUCCUAAGUGGUCUUUAUUGGACUUUUAGGAUUAAUUUAGUUAAUUAAUCAGUUAAUUUCUUAUUUGACUUUUUGAGGCUUUUAAGCUAUGGUUGUAAUUAAUUCCCCCUUAAUUGCCCCGAUCUCCUUAAUCCCUUUUUGGAUUUCUCUUUUCUCCUCCCCCUUUCUAUGUAUGUUUUAUUUUAUUGUUUUUAGAUUUUCACCACAUUUAAGGGACUGAAAUCAACUUAGGAUUUAUGAGCGAUCAUUUAGCAUGCCUAACAUAAAAUGAAUAAAACUUACCAAAGUAAGCUUCUCGCAGUUCAUAUCUACACUCACUUUAAAAUGCUAAUUUACCACGAAAUUUAUGUAAUAAAAUUGGAUUCAAAUUUGGCCACCUUGCAUGUGAAAGAUAAAAAAUCUGAGUUAUCAAAGUACCUUCCGUCAGGACUAGUUUUGAGUGCUAAUAUACCUCCUUCUAUAGCUUUGGACUUUUAGGAUUAGUU
Molecule: long non-coding RNA, 2826 nt
Organism: Ricinus communis (castor bean)
Lineage: Eukaryota; Viridiplantae; Streptophyta; Magnoliopsida; Malpighiales; Euphorbiaceae
Exons: 6
Source: RefSeq, a predicted model, not a curated record